UUCCUUUCUGGUUGGCAUCCCCUCACUUGAGAUGACGCCGAAUUGAUGGCACAGUAACUAAGGCUAUAUUGCCAGUUAAUUUUCGUUUAUAGUCCAGUGGACUUUCUUUUCACUUGACUACAAGCGAAAAUCUCGCUGUGUGUGUGUGUGUGUGUACGGCUGAAAAUCCUUUCUUUCUUGCGAAAUACUCGAAUUUUCCCCGGACUAACACGAUGCAACGUGCUCACCCGUUGAGAGUUUCACCGGAAGUGGAAUAUCAUUACUUAGUCAUCACGUACAUUGAAAUUUAUGUUACUGCAGAUUGAAAUAAAAGUGUUGUCUACAAUCGUUUCUUUUGUUUUUGAUGUGGGAGAAGCUAAGUGUUUUCAGUUGAUUAUUGUUUUCUAUAAACUGUAAAUGAAGUAAAUAUGAAGUGCACAACAUUGUUGUCGAACCGAAACAGUUCGAAAAGUUCAGAUCAGAUAAUUACUUUUAUAUGGAUAGUAAUUGAAGAAUCCAGCAGAAACUCCUGCGUUCAUAGUGGUAGAAAUUUGAACUACACGAUGGUGAUGUUUUUAAAAAAACCAGAGCAGUUUUUAAGUUUCCGGAAAAUUUUCGUGAUUUUUUAGUUGAUGUAUAAAUUUCAUUGGAAAAUAAUGGACGAAUCAGAGUUGGAACCGGUGACGGAGAACAUUCUUGUUCGCCUUGAAGACAUACUUGAAUAUGUGGGCGAUUCUGUUAGGCCGAUUAGAUAAGGAUUAGCCGUAUUGAGUGCCAACCACAUUGUGUAUAUAGGCUAUACCGGACGAUCUAGUGCACAUGUUCUUGUUAAAGGAUACGUAUUGCAAAGCUGGCACCCAGGAGGAAUACCACACGAAGUUUCUUCAAAAAUUUGUGACAAUCAUCCGUUAUGGGAUCUGAAUUGCUUAUGUAAAGCUGGUACGAGGCGAUGUAAACACAUUGUGGCCUGUUUGCUGCGGAUUAAUCAAUUCAAAAGACUCGAACACAUUUCUUGUACGGAUGCAGUACAAGCUUGGGGCUGCUCAAAAAUUGAAAAAAUAAGUCUAUGGGGUGCUAAGCCGAUUGCAGACUUAUGUUGUGUGAGACACAGGAAAUUAAUCGUUUGCAGUGAUGUUAAUAUGAAAGAAACGCUGCUGUCAGAUGUCCUGAUGAAAAUAUUAGCAGUUUCACCGCAGUCUGCAAUCAGCAAACACAUGAUUGGACGUCACACAAAUGUAAUCGAUUUUCGUACCGGCAUAAGUUCAAAUACUUGUACAAACAAUGGUGCAUACUGCACCGAGCAGGAACUGAAUGCUACUUUUUUGGCGAAAACCUAAUCAAAAAAUCUAGUGAAAAAUACUACUUUCAUCAAUCAAAUCAAAACUUCUACGAAAAAUUUGUGUGUGUGACGAAACAACAGAUUUUGAAUAUUGCGAUGGAAACUUGUGCACAAAACAACGAAACUUGGAAAGCACAGCGAUCUUUGCGUAUAACAGCAAGUUCAUGCUAUGGAUUGUAUACAUACUCUAAGAACUCGAAACCCGAUUGGGACACAAAAAUACAACAAUUUUUAAAACCAAGAAACUUUGAAACGAAAUGUAUGCGCUAUGGAAAGCAAACAGAGGGAAAGGCAUUCUUGUGCUAUGUACAAAAAAGAAAUCCUUUUAUGAAAAAGACUGGAUUUAUUAUUAAAUACCAGGAUCCAUGGAUAGGAGGUAGUCCAGACGGGUUAAACAGCGUAUCAGCGGUUAUUUUAGAAAUAAAAUGUCCAGUUUCAGGACAAGAGCACAGUUUAGAUUGGAUAUUAAUAAACUGUUUAGCGACACAACGAUAUGUGAAGAUUGAUGAAAAUAAAAAAUAUUACUUAAACAAGAAACAUGCAUAUUACGCACAAUGUCAGAUUAACAUGUAUGUUUUGAAUUGUAGAUUAACAGAUUUUAUAAUUUAUUCGGAACAAGAGAAUGACUUUGUUAAUAUAGAGGUUAGUUUUGAUGAAUGUUUCGUUGUAGAACUAUUGCGUGUAUUGAAGAAGAUUUAUUUCUGUGAAAUUUUGCCAAAACUGUGUAGAAAAUAAUGCUACCUUUAAAUGUUUUUUAAAGACUAAAAAAUUGAAAGAAAAUAUCCC
Molecule: long non-coding RNA, 2104 nt
Organism: Malaya genurostris
Lineage: Eukaryota; Metazoa; Arthropoda; Insecta; Diptera; Culicidae
Exons: 4
Source: RefSeq, a predicted model, not a curated record